Molecule: ribosomal RNA, 465 nt
Filed under: Vreelandella stevensii
Lineage: Bacteria; Pseudomonadati; Pseudomonadota; Gammaproteobacteria; Oceanospirillales; Halomonadaceae
Description: partial 16S ribosomal RNA
Rfam family: Bacterial small subunit ribosomal RNA
Source: RNAcentral
CCUACGGGCGGCUGCAGUGGGGAAUAUUGGACAAUGGGGGGAACCCUGAUCCAGCCAUGCCGCGUGUGUGAAGAAGGCCCUCGGGUUGUAAAGCACUUUCAGUGAGGAAGAACGCCUGGUGGUUAAUACCCAUCAGGAAAGACAUCACUCACAGAAGAAGCACCGGCUAACUCCGUGCCAGCAGCCGCGGUAAUACGGAGGGUGCGAGCGUUAAUCGGAAUUACUGGGCGUAAAGCGCGCGUAGGUGGCUUGAUAAGCCGGUUGUGAAAGCCCCGGGCUCAACCUGGGAACGGCAUCCGGAACUGUCAAGCUAGAGUGCAGGAGAGGAAGGUGGAAUUCCCGGUGUAGCGGUGAAAUGCGUAGAGAUCGGGAGGAAUACCAGUGGCGAAGGCGGCCUUCUGGACUGACACUGACACUGAGGUGCGAAAGCGUGGGUAGCAAACAGGAUUAGAUACCCCUGUAGUC